This 1450-nucleotide long non-coding RNA is filed under the name Daucus carota (carrot). RNAcentral describes it as "long non-coding RNA (DCAR_LNC007411)". Lineage: Eukaryota; Viridiplantae; Streptophyta; Magnoliopsida; Apiales; Apiaceae. The record is from RNAcentral.
CUUUUAUUUAAAGAGCAAGUAUUCCUAUUCUUUUCUUUUAUUUAAAGAGCAAUUAUUUCAAUUCUCUUUUGAUAAUACAAGUUUUAUAUUUAUGACUUGUACUUCCUGCAAGCAUGAUUAUCGAUUUCUGAUAUUUAAAAGUGCAAAUGCUUUCACGUGUUAUCCUGUGAUUGAAAAUAUCGAAUGUCUUUAGUUCGAUACUAUUUACUGUUAUAUGAAUAGUGACAAUUUUAUUUGAAAAGUAUUCUGAUUAUUUUAAUCAGUUUUCUGGAAAUUAUUGUCUGAGUUCUUUUACAGUUUGAAAACUAUUGUUGACUCGGUAGUAGUAUCAUUUCGAUGCUACAAUAUAUGCCUGGUCUUCUGUCCCAGACAUAAACCCUGGAUUUUAAAAUAGCGAAAAUAGUUUUGUGUAUUCUCUCGAGCCGUAUUGCGAUGGAUUUUUAAAUUGUACUCAGACUUUGUGGUCUCUCUCGAGCCGUAUUGCGGUGGAUUUUUAAAUUGUACUCAGACUUUGUUGAAAUUGAUUUUGACAGUAUUUUGAGUUUGAAAACGAAAGAGUUUUCAUAAAAAGUUUUGAAAGAGAUGAUUGUAUGGCGUGAGGGACGAAUUAAUUGUCCAGCCAAGUAGACCAGCAAAAAUAUUUUGUUUUGAUUGGAUGAAUGCGUAAGAGGCCGUGACGGCGGUCCAGUGAGGGCUAUAUACGUAUUAUUGAAACAUUAUAAUACCUCUGCCAAAGGCCAAUGUGUUGCCUUAUAUUUGGUACCUAUCGUAACGGAUAUACUUCUACGAAGUAUGAUCCAGUGCUAUCACAUGGUCUGAUCAGUUGUGAUAGUGCACCCGUCAGUUGUGGAUUCCAAUCCAAAAACUGGUCAUUACUGUUUAAGCUUAUGAUAGCUUAUGUUUACUGUCAAAUUUAUUUUGUGAUUUUCAAGCAUAUUGAUUUAUAUGUUUGAUAAACUUUUGAGUUAUUGUUUUAGAAUUUCAAAUACUCUGAGUUAAUUCAAAAGAAUUAUAUAUUGUGGCUCUUGCCUUUCAUAUUAUCUUGCUGAGCAUUUUCGCUCACUCUUGCUAUUAUUUCUAACCCUUUCAGCUAGGGAUUAAGAAGAUUCGAUUGUUGAGCUGCGCGUAAGAAUAAUGCUAGGCGAGAUGCCAGGGAGAUGUUUGUGAGAAUGGCUAUGGUUAGAAUUGAUUUAUUUCAAUUCUGUUGUAAAUAGAUUUAUUUAUUGGUUAUCAGUUAUUCUUCUUAUCGAAGUUUAGCUGAUAAUGUCGUUUAAGCUGUGAUGAGAUUUAAGGUUUUGGUUUCUGAUUUCAAUGCUGUAACCUAUUAGCGAUCCUGUUUUUAGGGGGUCAAAGUGAUUUUGAUUUUAAUCUCUUUUAAAAUGUCCAGAUAUUUUAUAUAUCUGCUUUACCUUUUUCCGCAAAUACAGGUUUUCAAAUGAUUUUAUUUUAG